RNAcentral lists this ribosomal RNA (83 nucleotides) under Mustela putorius furo (domestic ferret). The record is from RNAcentral. Lineage: Eukaryota; Metazoa; Chordata; Mammalia; Carnivora; Mustelidae.
CCAAAUAGCCAUACCACCCUGAACGCGCCCGAUCUCGUCUGAUCUCGGAAGCUAAGCAGGGUCGGGCCUGGUUAGUACUUGGA